Medicago truncatula (barrel medic) is the source of this 107-nucleotide microRNA precursor. It matches the Rfam family "MIR2593 microRNA precursor family". The record is from Rfam. NCBI's taxonomy places the organism in Eukaryota, Viridiplantae, Streptophyta, Magnoliopsida, Fabales, Fabaceae.
AUAUAAGCAAAUUUUACUUUUUAAGUUCAUUCCAUUAAUGAUGUAUGUGGUCAUGGACCACAUACAUCAUUAAUGGAAUGAACUUAAAAAGUAAAAUUUGCUUAUAU